Molecule: long non-coding RNA, 1567 nt
Filed under: Mytilus galloprovincialis (Mediterranean mussel)
Lineage: Eukaryota; Metazoa; Mollusca; Bivalvia; Mytilida; Mytilidae
Source: RNAcentral
UUUAAGGUCAUUAUUUAGUAACACCAAACAAAAGAACUACGUAAAUUGGACUUGAUUUGAUACUAUAACUGCCCUUUAAUGUUUACUAGAUAACUUUAUUUUCGAGAUUCCGUAUAUCGUCAAAUUAUCGUAAUUCCAAUGGAAACUGACUGUGCACCAGUUAUUGCGGAUCGGUUUCUGUAUUAUCAUGAAUUACAAUUGAUGACUAAAAUCAGCAAAAACCGAUCGAAACAGCCUCUGAUACAAAAAUUCAAUAACACUUUUCGAUAUUUGGAUGACAUUUUGGGUUUUAAUAAUGACGACUUUAGUAUGCAGAUUAAAGAUACUUAUCCUGCUGAACUGACUUUAUGAAAAGCUAAUAGUAACAAUGAAGACUGCCUUUUCCUGUAUCUUGAUAUCUAUAUAUUUAACGGACGCUAAAUAUCAUCAUUUUAUAAUAAGAGUUGUUAAUUAUCUUUUUUUUAAGAAAGUGAUGUGUCCUUGUCAUCACCGUAUCGUGUCUAUAUAUAUUAACUUGUGCAAUUCGCUUUUAUAUGUAACAACGUAUUUGAUUUUAAUAAAAAAAUUAAUCUACAUUGGCUAGAGGUACAUGUAUUGGAUCUCACAAAUCAUGUUUAAGCUUGCCACACUUUUGCGCCUGUCUAUAGUCAGUAGCCUCUGGCCUUUUUUCCUCUUGUAUUAUUUUGAAUUCAGUUUGACGUUCAUUUUAAUUGAACUAGUACACAUUAGUUUUUAGGUGCCAACUAAGGUCUUCCUCUGUGUUGGAUUUUCUCGCUUUGUUGAAAACCCAUUUGUAGACUUCAGUUGUUUGUUUUGUACUCUUUGGUCGGGUUUUUGUCUCUUUGAUACAUUCUCGUCUACAAGAGACUCAUCAGUGACGCUCGAGUCAAAAAAAGUUAAAAAGGCCAAAUAAAGUACGAAGUUGAAAAGCAUUGAGGACCAAAAUUCCGAAAAGUUUUGCCAAAUACAGCUAAGGUAAUCUAUGCCUGAGGUAGAAAAGCCUUAGUAUUUCGAAAAAUUAAAAAAAUUGUAAACAGUUAAAAGAUUGUUUUAAAACUGGCACUGUGUCAACAAGAGAACAAGCUUACAUUACAAAAAAAAAUUAAAUUUGGGUAUUUUUCUAAUUCGUAUAACGGCAAUGUUGCUUUAUCAUGACGACCUAGAUUACAGUAGGAUUAUACAGGCUCUUAAAAUUAAAAUGUUAAUACGCCAAUUCCUGCAUGGCACGAAUCAACAAUUUGUCGCAAAUUGACGAAUUACAUGUUUCCUUAUGUCCGUAAACAAAGAACAUUGUCUUUGAUGGAAAUUUCGGUCUCUCGGUUUAAUUCGGACGCGUAACCGUAGUGUAAUUGCUAUAAAGAAUAACAAAAAAUCGUAAAAAAGUAAAAAUAAGGAAGCAAGAAAAGAUGUAGAGAAACACCAUGCACGUUGAACUUUAAGUUAAAAUAACUUUAUCUUACCUGCUUUUUUUAAGUUUUUGUCCAACUGGUUCUUAAAACAUGAUGAUUUCAUUCUUCCCAUUUCGUAAAUAGUCAAAUGUGUAGCAUUUACCCAUUAUAUUACACAA